GGCCCGUUGGUCAAGUGGUUAAGACACCGCCCUUUCACGGCGAUUACGGGGGUUCGAAUCCCCCACGGGUCACCA
Molecule: transfer RNA, 75 nt
Filed under: Sporomusaceae bacterium
Lineage: Bacteria; Bacillati; Bacillota; Negativicutes; Selenomonadales; Sporomusaceae
Description: tRNA-Glu
Rfam family: tRNA
About the family: Transfer RNA (tRNA) molecules are approximately 80 nucleotides in length. Their secondary structure includes four short double-helical elements and three loops (D, anti-codon, and T loops). Further hydrogen bonds mediate the characteristic L-shaped molecular structure. tRNAs have two regions of fundamental functional importance: the anti-codon, which is responsible for specific mRNA codon recognition, and the 3' end, to which the tRNAs corresponding amino acid is attached (by aminoacyl-tRNA synthetases). tRNAs cope with the degeneracy of the genetic code in two manners: having more than one tRNA (with a specific anti-codon) for a particular amino acid; and 'wobble' base-pairing, i.e. permitting non-standard base-pairing at the 3rd anti-codon position.
Source: RNAcentral